GGGCCCGCACCAGCGGGGGAGCAUGUGGUUUAAUUCUACGCAGCGCGAACAACCUUACCAGGGCUUGACAUCUACAGAAUUCCAAGGAAACUUGGGAGUGCCUUUCGGGGAACUGUAAGACAGGUGGUGCAUGGUUGUCGUCAGCUUGUGUCGUGAGAUGUUGGGUUAAGUCCCGCAACGAGCGCAACCCCUGUGUUUAGUUGCUAACGAGUAAGGUCGAGCACUCUAGACAGACUGCCGGUGAUAAACCGGAGGAAGGUGGGGAUGACGUCAAAUCAUCAUGCCCCUUAUGUUCUGGGCUACACACGUGCUACAAUGGCCAGUACAGACGGAAGCGAAGCCGCGAGGUGGAGCAAAUCCGAGAAAGAUGGUCUCAGUUCGGAUUGCAGGCUGCAACUCGCCUGCAUGAAGUCGGAAUCGCUAGUAAUCGCAGGUCAGCAUACUGCGGUGAAUACGUUCCCGGGCCUUGUACACACCGCCCGUCACACCACGAAAGUCUGCAACACCCGAAGCCGGUGAGGUAACCCGUAAGGGAGCUAGCCGUCGAAGGUGGGGCCGAUAAUUGGGGUG
Molecule: ribosomal RNA, 570 nt
Filed under: uncultured bacterium
Lineage: Bacteria
Description: bacterial SSU rRNA
Rfam family: Bacterial small subunit ribosomal RNA
Source: RNAcentral